This 357-nucleotide unclassified non-coding RNA is filed under the name Hevea brasiliensis (rubber tree). The record is from RNAcentral. Lineage: Eukaryota; Viridiplantae; Streptophyta; Magnoliopsida; Malpighiales; Euphorbiaceae.
ACUGAUCAUACAUAGUUAGUAACCCUAGCCUGUACACUGGUUCUGUGGCAUAAAUAGGAGCAGAAAGACCGAGUUGUUUCAUGGCAUAGGGCAAAGCACCAAGAUGAAAUGUAUCAGAGUGUGAAAUCAAUACAGCAUCCACCGUUGAAGCCACCCUGGAUAGGGGUUGAAGAAGAGAAGUAUCAAAGUGGUCAUUCCAACCGCAAUCGACAAGGAAAUUGAAGCCGUCGAUGGAGACGAGGUAAGACAGUGGGUUCUCAUUGUAUACUCCACAGAGUGGCGUCACCUGAACCGACGUUCCCAUGCCGCCACCGUCGCUCUCCGCUUCUCUUUGCUUAAUCCCACAGUGAGUCGCCG